UACGUAGGGUCCAAGCGUUGUCCGGAGUUACUGGGCGUAAAGCGCGCGCAGGCGGCGGUGCUGGCCCGGCGUGAAAGCCCCCGGCUCAACCGGGGAGGGUCGUCGGGGACCGCACCGCUUGAGGGCGGUAGGGGCUGGUGGAAUGCCUGGUGUAGUGGUGAAAUGCGUAGAGAUCAGGCGGAACACCUGGGGCGAAGGCGGCCAGCUGGGCCGUCCCUGACGCUGAGGCGCGAAGGCGUGGGGAGCGAACGGG
RNAcentral lists this ribosomal RNA (253 nucleotides) under uncultured bacterium. RNAcentral's name for it is "partial 16S ribosomal RNA". It matches the Rfam family "Bacterial small subunit ribosomal RNA", at positions 524 to 776 of the family's 1533-position model. The record is from RNAcentral.